This 499-nucleotide ribosomal RNA is filed under the name uncultured bacterium. RNAcentral's name for it is "bacterial SSU rRNA". It matches the Rfam family "Bacterial small subunit ribosomal RNA", at positions 903 to 1397 of the family's 1533-position model. The record is from RNAcentral.
AAAUGAAUAGACGGGAGCCCGCACAAGCAGUGGAGUAUGUGGUUUAAUUCGACGCAACGCGAAGAACCUUACCAGGAUUUGACAUGCCAAGUACUCGGCGUAAUGGCUGAGUGACCUCGAAGCUUCGGCAGAGAGGAAGGACACAGGUGGUGCAUGGUUGUCGUCAGCUCGUGUCGUGAGAUGUUGGGUUAAGUCCCGCAACGAGCGCAACCCUUAUGUUAAGUUGCUACGCAAGAGCACUCUUGACAGACUGCCGUUGACAAAACGGAGGAAGGCGGGGACGACGUCAAAUCAUCAUGCCCCUUACAUUCUGGGCUACACACGUACUACAAUGGCGAAAACAAAGGGGAGCGAAGCCGCGAGGUGGAGCAAAUCCCAAAAAAGUCGCCCCAGUUCGGAUAGCAGGCUGCAACCCGCCUGCUUGAAGUUGGAAUUGCUAGUAAUCGCGGAUCAGCAUGCCGCGGUGAAUACGUUCCCGGGCUUUGUACACACCGCCCGU